UACAGAGGUGGCAAGCGUUGUUCGGAAUUACUGGGCGUAAAGGGCGCGUAGGCGGCACGGCAAGUCAGGAGUGAAAGGCCUGGGCUCAACCUGGGAAUUGCUUUUGAAACUGCCGAGCUAGAGUGCGGAAGGGGCAACUGGAAUUCCCAGUGUAGCGGUGAAAUGCGUAGAUAUUGGGAAGAACACCUGAGGCGAAGGCGGGUUGCUGGGCCGACACUGACGCUGAUGCGCGAAAGCCAGGGGAGCGAACGGG
Molecule: ribosomal RNA, 253 nt
Filed under: uncultured bacterium
Lineage: Bacteria
Description: partial 16S ribosomal RNA
Rfam family: Bacterial small subunit ribosomal RNA
Source: RNAcentral